GGGUCUGUUACUGAAGAUGUGGUGACAGGGUAUAGGAUGCAUAAUAGAGGUUGGAGAUCUAUUUAUUGUGUGACAAAGAGAGAUGCAUUCCGUGGCACUGCACCAAUCAAUCUUACUGACAGGCUUCACCAAGUGCUUCGAUGGGCUACUGGUUCUGUUGAAAUCUUCUUCUCUCGCAACAAUGCUUUUUUGGCUAGUCCUAAGAUGAAAAUUUUGCAGCGGAUCGCCUACCUCAACUGCGGCAUCUACCCUUUCACCUCGAUUUUCUUAAUCGUGUACUGCUUCCUCCCAGCACUUUCACUAUUCUCUGGUCAGUUCAUCGUCCAGUCCCUGAACGUCACCUUCCUCACAUAUCUCCUCGUGAUUACAUUGACUCUCUGCGCACUCGCAGUGCUUGAGAUCAAGUGGUCCGGCAUUGCCCUGGAAGAGUGGUGGCGUAAUGAGCAGUUUUGGUUAAUUGGAGGUACAAGUGCCCAUCUUGCUGCUGUGCUUCAGGGGCUUCUAAAAGUGAUUGCUGGCAUUGAAAUUUCAUUUACCCUGACAUCAAAAUCUGCCACUGAUGAUGAUGAUGAAUAUGCUGAUCUCUAUAUCAUCAAAUGGACUUCCCUGAUGAUCCCACCUAUUGUUAUCAUGAUGACUAACUUGAUUGCGAUAGCUGUUGGUGUAAGCCGGACAAUAUAUAGCACAAUACCACAAUGGAGCCGUUUACUCGGAGGGGUUUUCUUCAGUUUUUGGGUCCUUGCUCAUCUCUAUCCUUUCGCUAAGGGACUAAUGGGAAGACGCGGAAGGACACCAACAAUCGUAUUUGUCUGGUCAGGACUUAUCGCCAUCACCAUUUCGCUGCUGUGGGUUGCCAUUAACCCCCCUGCUGGUGCCAGUGAAAUUGGAGGUUCAUUCCAGUUCCCUUGAUAGUUCCAUUAUGCAUUCCAUUCAGAUUAUUCUUUAGUUUUUCUACUUCUUUUUCUUCCCUCUUUGUAACAAAAUGUGGACACAAAGGCCUUGAAUAUUAUGUGGAUUUUGCCACCACUAUUGUCCUUGAAUUUUUGUUUUAUGGUUCAAUGUUCAUUAGGAAAAUGGCAAAACAUACAAUACAUUGUUUGUAAAUCAAAG
This 1110-nucleotide unclassified non-coding RNA is filed under the name Hevea brasiliensis (rubber tree). The record is from RNAcentral. Lineage: Eukaryota; Viridiplantae; Streptophyta; Magnoliopsida; Malpighiales; Euphorbiaceae.